Molecule: long non-coding RNA, 19069 nt
Filed under: Triticum aestivum (bread wheat)
Lineage: Eukaryota; Viridiplantae; Streptophyta; Magnoliopsida; Poales; Poaceae
Description: long non-coding RNA (TAES_LNC022736)
Source: RNAcentral
GUUUUUUUCGUUAGUAGACCAACAACAGAAGAAACUGGAAAGAAAAAACAACUGAGAAAUGAACGAGCGAUGGAGCGGCUGACGUGGGUAAAGCAAGCGGCCGAAGCUAGGCGAAGCGAGCUAGCUUAAGUUUUGGGUUGUGUCUGUUGGCAUCAGUGCAAGCAUCGGUUUGGCUCCCUAGCACUGGGAGGAGGUCUCAGCAGGAGGACUCAGUUAGUCCAGCCAUAGAAAUAGAAAGGUUGCAUUUGAAAGAACUAUAGAAUAAACCAUUUCUCUAGGUCCAGGCCCGCAAGCUGAAGGAAACAAAUGUUGAAGAUUCCCUUCUUUUUGUGGGCUAACCCGCAUCACCAUCUCCCACACAAUGCAAAACACAACCCUAACCAAGCAAUAAACUCACAUAACCCAUCAACCCGCAUGCGGGGCCUAUAUCUUGCUUAUACCGAGAUGUAUGCUCUCGUCGCCUGGGGCACGGCGCGACCAGGUCGGCACAAUACUAUAGCAUGUAGUGAGUUUUUUUUUUCAUUUUUCCGGUUUCAUUGGUUUCAACCCACUUUUUUCUGUAUGGGUUUCUUUGUCCAGUUUACACUGUUGGGGUGCUGUUUUCUUUUGUUUUUAGUUUAGUUUUCUUGUUUCUUCUUCGGUUUUCUUUCUUUCAUCAUUAUACUUUAUUUUGUUUUUUCUUUUUUUCUUAGGUUUUUUGUUUCUUUCUUGGUUUUCAACGGUAUUUGCCUUUUCUUUGUUUCUUUAUCGGCUUUCAUUGUUUUCCCAUUCUUUUUGCGCUUGUUUCUUCAUUUUUCAUUUUUCUUUGCUUUCUUUUGUUUCUUUUUUGGUUUUUUAGUUUUUUUGGUUUUCAUUCUACAUUUUCUUAUACAUUAAGAAUAUUUUUCAAUACACAUUUAACAUUUCUCAAAUAUGACUUUAACAUUUUUUAAUACAUUGUUAGCAUUUUUUCUAUGCAUAUUUUAAACAUUUUUAUAUGCUGGAUUAACCUUUUAAAAAAUCGAGUACAUCGUCAACAUUUCUUUCAUACACAUUUUAACAUUCUCAAACACUAGAUUAAUAUUUCUUGAAUACAUGAUUAAGAUUUUGUUAAUACAUGGUCAACAUUAUUUCUAUACACAUUAAAAAAAUCUUGAUUAAGAUUUUGCAAUUAGUUUUUUUCAAAUGCUUGAUUAACAUUUGCUUAGUACAUGAUCAACUUUUUCACACACAUUGUAUAUUGUUUGUUUAGGUUAUUUAAUACAUGGUGCACUUUUUUUCUGUACAUAUUUUUUAACAUUCUACAAAUGCUUGAUUAACAUUUUUCAAAUACAAUUUUAACAUUGCUUGAAUACAUGGUCAACAUUUUUCUCUAGAGACAUAUUUAAAAUUUUCAAAUUCUUGAUUAAAAAAUUUCAAAUACAAGUUUGAUAUUUUUGGAAUACAUGGUCAGCAUUUUUUAUACCACAAAAGCUACAUGUCAAUCGCCUGACUUUCGAAGUUGGUGUCAGUCGAUUUUUGGUUCAACGGAGAAAUAGCCGGAGGGGGAGGAAGAACUCGCCGGAGAGGAGGAAGAGCCUCGCUGGGCAGGCUACCCCACCAUCUAUCUUAGGGUGGGGUGUGGGGGAGGCAACACGAGGUUGUGGAGCGGCGGCAGCGGGCGGUGGUGAAGGUUUGCCGAAGAAAAAACCGGCGAGGUCCGGGCCUAGAGGGAUGGCCGGGGCGGUGGCAGCACAGCGGUGGGAGGAGGUUCCGAGGAGGGCAGGGCGGUGAGGCUACGCGGUAGCGCCGCCGGCCACGGGCGGUGGUGGCCGGCGGUUCGACCGUUGGUCCGUGGGGCUGUUGGAAGAAGAUUCGCCGGGAGGUUGGAGAUGAACUGGCAGCCGUUAGAUUGGAGAUUGAGGGUGGAUAGCAGUCGACUGAUCCAAAUCGGGGAAUUCAGUCGACUGGCACCCAGCCAGUCCCUUUUUAUACACAUGUAACAUUUUUCAAAUGCGUGAUUAACAUUUUUCAAAUACUUGUUUAACAUUUUUUUAAUGUAUGAUUAACAUUUUUUAAUACAUAAUUUUAUUUUUUCCCACACAUUGUAUAUUUUUUUUUACACAUUUUCGAAUACAUGGGAAAGAAUUCUUUAUACAUAUUUAACAUUUUUAUAAUGCUUGGUUAAUAGUUUUUCAAAUUAUUUUAUAUAAAGUGUUUUUUGUCAUUUAGAAUAUUGAAAGUAUGAACUAAAAUGAAAAAUAUUACGGAAAAACUGAAAAAAGAAACCGUGAAAAAGACGAGCCUGUGGCCUCCCGCGGGUCCGGUCCGGCCCCUUUAUGUAGGCCCCUGACGCGAGAACACUCUAAGUCUUGCUAUAAGCCAGACAUAGAGCUUCCCUCAACCCACGUGCAUACAUUCCAAAUAGCAUGGCCUUUUUAGGUAUCUCCCUCCGUCCUCUAGAUAUAUCCAUUUUCCGAUGAGUAUUUCCGGACGGAGGGAGUAUGUCAUUAGUGUGGCAUGCCCCGAACGUGCUUGUCCCCAGCGACAACAUGCCUGGCCAAGGCUCUGAGGAUGCAUGAAAAAGAAGUGCCCUCAAAGUCCGAAAAUUGCCAAAAGAGCUCUGGCUCCAUCUGGUCCUAUUUUUGGAAUUUUCAAAAAUCAUUUUUCAAUUUUCAAAAAUUCUAGCACAUGUAUAUAGGGAUGUAUACUGCAUAUCUGUAAAUUUUCAUGAUAAAGUACGUUCUUAUGUGAACUAUAUAAAAAAAUCAUAAUUCACGGUAAAAGUUCAUGUUUUUUUAUAGACCACAUAAAAAUGUAUUUCAUCAGAAAAAUUACUUAGAUGAAGUACACAUCGCUAUGUACAUGUGUAUUCUUUCACAAAAAAAAUCAAAAUUUCAAGCUCCAUGGAGCUCAUGAUCCAAAAAUCCACUCUACACCACUAGGUUGUUGCAAAGAAAAAAAGUUACGGCGGAAAUACAUUAAACUUGGUAUCUUACUCCAUCCGCCUCACCACCAACCGCGUUGGUGGUUAGAGUGUAAGUAGUGUUUACUUUUGAGUAUUAUUCACGCACAUCUUGUAAACAAAAAUUCCGUGAUAAAAGUGAAACGAAGUGUCUAAAAAAUGGCCGAACAAACCCAUAAACCUUGGAAGUUAGAGCAUUUCUAGCAGACCCCUUAAAUCGCGCCGACCCGCGAAAUAGCCGUCAGUUUACGGUUUUACGCGAAAAAAGUGGCCCGAACAGACAUCGUAUACGCGCUUGACCCUUAAAUUUUUUUGAGGGGCGUGGUAAAUUGCCCCUAUCGACCCGCGAAAACACAACCCCCCACCCCGUCGGUGCCCUGUAUCUCGCGAAAGCGGUUUGCGGGAGGGACAUUUUAGGCCGCGCGUGUUCCUCACCCCCAUCCCACAGCCACCCGGCACCGUCGCCGCCCAUCCACUGCCUUCGAUUUCAGCCAUAUCCGCCAAUGGAAUCACACCGCCGGGCCGCUCCAGGCUUGGGUCCACCGCGCCACUUCGCCGGUGCCCCGAAUCCACCGAGCCGAGCCACCUGGGUUGCCGCCGACCCGGAUCGACCUGUCGCCGAGUCGCCACCCGCCCCAAAUUCACCGAGCCGAGCCGUCCCCGAGUCGCCCCGGAUCGACAGGCCGCCGGUGAGUCCUUUUCUGCCCGUUCUAGUUCGACUUAGCGAACAAUUUGUAGAUGAAUUUCCGUUCAUGCGAGCUCGGGUGCGAUUUGUAGAUGUAUUUGAGCCCUUGCGAGGAACUUUUGCUCGGGUAUUCGUCCUCGUGCAACGACCCGGACGUAGAGUCACUGCUCGAAAGCCAUCGGCAGCAGAUGGUAGUGGUGGUCCUCGCCGUGAAGGAGCUCGAGGAUCGGAACCGAAAAAGACGGCGAGGAUCGACCGCCGGCUGUCUUUACAUCCCUCGUAACCGCCAUCUCGGAUACAUGAUGUUUGAAUUCAGGACAAAUCUUGUAUUGAAUUAUUAGUUUAAGGGGCAUACCUUGCGCUUUGUACCAUGACGGCCAGGGGACGGAUUGAUGAUGGACAGCAGGACUCCAUUGGGUGGGCGUAGGAGACUGGUGGCCGCUACUCGACUAGUUCAUCCUACCAUGCCAAGUUCUGGGGUAGAGAGGUGGUGCCGGCGGCUGAUUUCACGUGGAAGUCCAAGGCCCCCCUACAAUAUAGGUUCUUCACUUGUUUGGUGCUCAGGAAUAGGUGAUGGACUUCAGAUCGCCUAGCAUGACGUGGAUUUGAUCACCAAAAGGCGUGCCCGCUCUGCGAUCAAGAGGAGAAAACCAUACAACACCUCCUGCUUGACUGCGUGUUUGCAUGGGAAAUAUGGAGCGUGGUCUACCGAGCCAUGGGUAAGCAGGAACGGACCCCAACUGGGAGGUUGACCCUCUCGGAGUGGUACCAUGACAAGAUCGGGACGAGUCACAACAAGAAAGAUACAUGAGCAAUCAUUAUUGUUGUCUUAUAGAAACAUCGGAACUCGAUCGUGUUCAACGGGGCAACACCGUCAAGAGACCAUGUAAUCUCUAGAUUAGAAGGAGAGGGUAGAACAUGGAAGUUAGUUUGGAUCCUUAGAGGAUGGGUAGAUGCCUUCCUCGGGGCGUUCACGAGUGAGCUAUCGCGACUAGAUACGGCUUAGGAAUUUCGGUGGACUUAGGUGGAGUUGGGUUCAUGUGAUAUGCAACACCAACGUGAAGAGGCUCUUUCCCCAUCUUUUUUAAUACAAAAGUAAAGACUCGUGCAUAUUCGAAAAAAAUAGCUUCAUUCAUGAAAGUAGAAAUAGAAAUUUUGAAACAUAUACUCCCUCCUUCUCAUAAUAUAAGAACGUUUUUGACACAUUAUNNNNNNNNNNNNNNNNNNNNNNNNNNNNNNNNNNNNNNNNNNNNNNNNNNNNNNNNNNNNNNNNNNNNNNNNNNNNNNNNNNNNNNNNNNNNNNNNNNNNNNNNNNNNNNNNNNNNNNNNNNNNNNNNNNNNNNNNNNNNNNNNNNNNNNNNNNNNNNNNNNNNNNNNNNNNNNNNNNNNNNNNNNNNNNNNNNNNNNNNNNNNNNNNNNNNNNNNNNNNNNNNNNNNNNNNNNNNNNNNNNNNNNNNNNNNNNNNNNNNNNNNNNNNNNNNNNNNNNNNNNNNNNNNNNNNNNNNNNNNNNNNNNNNNNNNNNNNNNNNNNNNNNNNNNNNAACCCUAGUCGCGCCGCCGCCAGGCCCUACCGCUCCUCCUCCCCCCGCAUCGCCGCCGCCGGAGGGGACGCCGGCGAAGCCCGUGCGUGCCCGGUGAAGGUGGCGGCGGGGCUUUCGUUCUGCAUUCGAUUGCGCCGCGACCCGGGCGGAUCGGCCACCCGUGGGGGCGGGGCGCGGUCUUCCCAUCCUGGCGGCGGCUUCUCCUGGCGUCGGCGUUCUGCUCGUCUCCGGCAGCUCCGUGCGUCUCGUGGUGGAGGGCGUGCUGCGGCGGGCGCGUAUGGGCGGCUGGGAGGACCAGAUCUGGUUGGCCUGCUCCCCGCGCGCUCAGGUGGGGGCGGCACCUGGGGCUCUCUCCGGCUGCAGGGGCGCGGUGCCGGGCUGGCGACCUCCGGUGGUGCUGUCCAGGGUGAGCAUCGGAGGCGCUCGGCUCGUUGGCUCUGGUUCGUGUGGGCUGGUUCCAAGUCCGGCGAGUUAGGCUGAGGAGGUGGAUCUGGGGGUGAAAGUCGGUGGUGGAGUUGUGGCGGCCAGGCUAGAUCUUCCCUCCUGUCGGCGCCGGUGCUCGAGGUGAGCAGCUAUGUCAAUGGAGGUGCAGCCCGCAGUCGGCGGUGAGGACGCUCGCCGCGGAGUUGCUGGAUGUUGGGAGGUCUCGCGCUCCUAUGCUUGCCGGACAAAACGACCAACGUAUGCGGAGAGGUCAGGCCUGUGAUGCUUGAGGCGAAAGCCUUGUGCCGGCCUUGCCGGCAUCGAUGAUGGCGACGCCUUCCGGCGCCGUUUUCCUCCUUGGAGGCGUCAUUGUCAAGCUCCGCCUUGUGUCCUCUAAUGUGCCCCGGGCGAAAGCCUAGAUCCAUCUGUGGAUCAGACAUCGACAAGGUCUUUGACAUCGUUACCCCCUUGGGGGCGUUGUCUUUGGAGCCAUUGAGCUACUAUGGUUUGUUUGUUGUCUCGGCUCGAGUGCGGUAGGUCUGUUGGUGUGUGGUUGGGCUGAUGGAUUGUUUGGUGGUGGUGGUGGAAGUGAAUUGUGGCGGCGUUCUUUGCCUUGGUCAUCCUGGUGCUAUUGGUCGAUCUCUCUCUUUGGGGCUUGUGGCGGCGGUGAGGUCUCGGAUUUUGGCGCCCUUCGACGACGCUUGAGGUUUGGUUCCCUCGCAUAGUGCUUUGGUUCCCUCGCAUAGUGCUUUGGUUCCCUCUAUUUGUGAUGGUGGCCGUGGUGUGGCCCAGAGGAGGUGCGGGGCUGUCUCGGCGGAACAUUGCCCUUCGUCACGGUCUGUGGCUUUCUCCGUCGCGUCGUGGCUAGGCAUUGGGAAGCCCUUCGACGGUGGUUGUGACUCUCCUAGUUCUUCAAGGUGCUGAGUGAACGCAAGGUAGCAGGCGGCUUCUUCUCUUGGUCUUCUCGGUGUUGAUUCUUCUUUCGACUGAUCCAACAAUGCUAGUUUCGCUCUUCUUGGUCUGCCUAGUGGUGAUGGGUGCUAAGUUCUUGGUUUUGGCUGCUUGUCGUAGCUCAUUUUCUGGUUCUCCUCUGUUGUACCUCGGUGCUUCUUGUGUGUGUUGGGUGCUGCAGUUGUGUAGCCGUUGUGUUGUAUCUCAGUCUUACUUAUGAUAAUGAAAAUGGUUCAGGCUGGCGUAAGCCCGCCGUAGCUCCGUCAAAAAAAACAUUAUGGGAUGGAGGGAGUAGUUUAGAAAUUUUUUCUCUAUCUCUAGAUUUGGGGAGACAUGAUCGGCUGCGAGCACGCCCAGUUUUCAAAACAUUUUCCUAAACACGCCCAGUUGGCAAAGCCCUACGCGUCCAGGCCGCGAAGGAAAGCAUUUUUUUCCUAAACACGGGCAGAAAUGAACAACGGAGCCCGGCAGGCAGCAUCAGCAUCUCUCGGACGGAUCCACGGGAGGCAUGGGAGAGGGAAAGGAGAUACGUACCGGCCGGCGUCGGCGAGCGGCAGGCCUCGUGUCCAGGGCGAAGUGGCUCUCCAGCCGAGCCCCAGCCACGCUCACGCCGCCACCUCGGUCUCCACGGCGACAGCGCGCGCGGCACCAAACCUACAUGCACGCGCGCCUUCCUCGAUCCGGCCGGCGAACCAUCACGGUCCGGCACGCGUACGUGCGUCUCCACCGAUUCCCGCCGUCCGGUUCUCUCUUUUUUAACCGCGGCACCUCUGUACGGACCUAGGCGAUGCGCGCCGUGCCGUGCCGUGCCGUCCUCGGGUGAAAGAACGGCGGUGGGGAAGGUACGUGUCCCCAUGGGCGAUCGACAUGCAUGCCUCCGCCCUCAAACCGCGUCCCGUAGACGAGAAGCUUUUAGUCCGAGCGGCGAAUGGCCGGGCUAGCUCUAGGCGCAAGGUGCUUUGCCAACGAAAAAAUGUCUAUGCUACGACGCGCCAUGGUGACCUUUUUCUCUGUAGCCCGGCACCCAUUUUCGGCACUACUAAUAAUUGCCUAAUUGGUACUCCCUCCGUACCAUAAUAUAAAAACGUUUUUUACACUAAUGUAGUGUUAAAAAUGUUUUUAUAUUUUGAGACAGAGGAAGUACCAUUAGUGUAAAAAACGUUCUUAUAUUAUGGGACGGAGGGAGUUCUUAAUUUUUGACACUACGAGGACAGUUCUUUUUCGAAUUAGAUGCACACAAUAUUAGACUUUUAUUAGUUCCGCCCUUGAUCUACGGGUUGCCAUGGACGUCGAAGAGUCUAUGAGGGUUCCUCUCUUCAGAUCUCAUGGUUACGGUUGGCGGCUUAUACUGACGCGGUUGCGAGAUGGAACUGAAAGGCUUCGAUGUGAGUUUCAACGGCUCUAACUCCGGCCGGUUAGCCUUCGAUGGGGUGAUGUAAUCUAUGGUUACUUUCAAAAAAUAUAUAUUUUUUACUUAAAAAAAGAUGCAAUCUAGGCACCCGGCUUAACGCAAAGAGUAUGAUAGUGCAUCGGUGCAGUAGGAUUUCUGGAUCAAUGCAUUUAGCUAUUGGGAUCAUGAAAAGUUAUGAUGACAACACUUGGUUGACUUUUUGAUUUGGUGGUGCUAAGUGAAAAUCUUAGGUAUGAACCGCCUUGCAAUGAUGAAGUUUUUACGUACUAAUCUUGUUGAAGUCAUUGGUCGGAUAUGCUUGGACUUAUUCUUUAGGGCGAAAACCUAGAACCUACCCUUUCAUGAUUUUACAACUGCAACACUUGAGCGUUGUUCUUUUCAUCAAGGUGUUACUGCUAAAAACUUUUCUCAUCGUUCUUGUUGUAUCAAAAGAUUGUUGGUGUGAAUAUGGUUGUUGUUGUAGUUUGUCAAUCAUGAUGGCUUUAGUUUUCUUUUUCCUUUAUGGUUUAGGCACAUUUUGGGUCUUAUAUGUUUUUGCCAUUUACCCGCAUGUCUAUGGGCCUGUUUGGUUGCCGUAUGAGCUGGGCCUGACUAGCUCAGUCAGGCUCAACGGAGCCUAGUUGAAGGAAAACUGGCAAAAUAUCGACAUCUGCACAUUGUUUGGUUGUCCGCAUCUAGCCCUCUCGCAUUAGGGGACCAAUUUUGCCUUAGCGUUUGGUUGACUGCAUUGACUCGGCUCACGCAACUACACGGUGUCUGGUUCCAUGCAACAACUGUUGUCUGGUAACCUCUUCGGCGAGGUGGUGAGGUUACUAGUGCACAACGACUUGAAGAAAAAAAAUAUACACACACAACAGAAGAUAGUUGUAAACCAUAACUAAUCAUAGUUUAAAUAAAGUGCAACACUUAAACAUAUCAGUUCAAAUGGAAAGCAGUACGAUAAGAAACUAAACCAGUUGGAGCAUAAGAAGGGCAGUCCUAGACGUUGAGGGCGAAGGCGUAGUCAUGCUUACCGCACUUGGUCACCACUUCAAUGCCUUCGUCGUCGAAGACGAUGACCUUGAGCGUGUCCGAAGUGAGCAGCUUGAACGUCACCAUGUAGCUGAUCCUGAUCUGAUGGACAGCGGCGAAGGGGGGCCAACCCUGAUCGAGGGUCACCCUAUCGUCCAUCAACCGGACAGUCACCCUUCACGAGUAGCCGGUGUUGGUCCUCAGUUUGAACUCUUGCGGCACCAUCGGGAAGUGUUUGGUGAAGUCUAGAGGCAUCAGGAUGCACUCAAGCUGAGGGCAAGGAUCACCUUGCAAAAGUGGGUUAGACCUCCCUCCUCUUGGUAGUGGCCGUAGUUACGACGCUUUCCGCUAGGGGGCUCAUCCGACACCACGUCCUCAUCCAUGGCCACCUCCUCAGGCAUGGUCGGCCCAACCUCCAUGGGCGGCACGACCUCCUUGCCCUUCUCCAUGGGCGGCACCACCUCCUUGCCCUUGUUGUCUGUGUCGAUCUGCAUUACGAAGGGCGCACAUUAUGAAGAGCACAAAAGUUCAGAGGUUGAUCACCAUUAAAACCUAUCGUCCAUAACCCCUUAAUUUACCCAUCCUCACGGUCACUACUUACCCACCAUCUCACUCAGUCAUCUCUCUGUCUCUCACUCUUCCUACUAUCGACAGCCAUGAACUCCAGCAGCAACUCCAACCCCAUCCCCAACCCCUUCCCUUGGGGCAUUGGAUGGAGGGAUUUCUUUCUCGGGUGCUCGCCCGGUGACCGCACCAAGUUCGAGAACACCAUGGAAGUCUGCUCCAAAUUCACCAGCAUGGCAGACAUGCAGAAAGAGUCGGACGCGGUGGUGAAGAAGGCGGCACCGGAGGAGUUGAAGACGUUGAUUCCUGACCCAGCGAAGGGCGCUUUGUCAGUCAAAAUCCUUCGCUGGGCCAUGAAUCAGGCCGACUCCGGCGACGCUCGACAGAGGUCAAGGUGGGCCAAGUACAGAGAGUACAGGCGUCCUCAUGACCAUCAUGUCGCUGCGUACUUCACGACAAGGAUUGUGGUGGCGGUGGAGGAGGGACAAGAAGCGGUGGCCAGGGAGGUGGAAGAAGAAGUUGCAAUGACGAUGAUUGUAAGGGCGACGAAGCCAGAGCGUCGAAGCAUGCCGGUCGACCUGGACUCCGGCGAGGAAGAAGAGACGGUGGUGCAGCCCGAGGAGAAAAACAUGGGCAAUGGCACCCGCCGCUCCAAGCGCCUCGAGGGUCGCUAAGGCUAAGAUCUAUGACUACCGUGUAAGAUUUACCCCCCAAUACUGCCUCACCAUUGUACUCAAUCCUGACCGGUAACCUCAAAUCUAUCGGUACUACGAACUCAUGACGAUGUUAUGAUCAUUCCUAUGGCAAAUUACACCGAUUCCCCAUUCCCCUAACACGGGUCGAACCUAAAUGCGGAUCGAAUGCGAAUGAAUACGUGAGGAGGUGAAAAAAAAAUGCUUACUGCCAUUGCCGUGCCGGAGGUGAUGAUGCGGAUGCCGGCGUAGGGGGCGGAUGUCGCCUUGCUGUUCUCCGAUCUGCUUCAUGUCGCCACCGUCGGUGAGAGUGGGGAUAUGGGAGAGGGGAGAGGGGGCGGUGAGGGUAAUAACUGUCGGCGCUUCGGGAAGCAACGCGGCUUCAUGAGUGUGGCUCGGCGCGUGCAGUCCCUGCCGCCCACGUGUAUCUCACGGCCUGGCUCUGGAGAAACUGCCGAUUCAAGCGUUCACGGCGAGACAGCCCCAGAGCUGCUUUAAAGUUCAUGCGAUGCAGGCCCAAUAAUGUAUGCGCGCAACCAAACGGGUCACAAAUUCCCCGUGCGGGCCUGGUUGAGGGAAAUGCAAGCAACCAAACACGUCUUAUAUGUACUUCAUCUGUUUUAAAAUAUAGGUCGUUUUAGCAAGGUGUUUUAGCUUGCUAAAAUGACUUAUAUUGUGAAACAGAGGGAGUAGUAUGUUGAUGUUGAUUUUGUGUAUUCUACCUAUACGAUGCCGGACCUCGUGAUGCUUUGUUUUGAACCAAUAAAAUCCGUCCUCUAUCGGAACGAAAGUGGGCUUGCACUUCGCCUGGCAGGUGUAAUAGACGCUGUGUACACUGUACCCGGCCGGCAGAUCGACGGCGUACGUAGCAUCAAGCAGUUCUUCUACGUAUCCGGAGAACACUGAGGGAUCAUUCGCAGAAAGAAAGAAAAGCUAAUGACCAUGUGCCACACUGCUGCGCGUCUGAAAAGGCAACGUUCCCGAAGCAGCAGCCGGGGCGCGCGUCAAAGGCUCAAAGCUUGUUCCCAGGCAAGGAAAAACCGGUGGUCAAAAGCCUAAUCACCGUUGUGAUGGCGCUGGACUCUUGUUCCCACGGAGGCUGCAGUGCCCCAGGCGAUCCAUGUGAUCCCCGCUUUCGAUCCAUGAACCCUUUUGGUUCGGCCUUGGACUUGGACUCUUGGUAGCGUACACUCGUACAGCAAGUUGCAAAGCUUAUUCUUUUGCAAUUUGUUGCAAAGCUGGACCAGUGUGAAUCGUGCUGCAGCAGUGCAGUGCUCGCGCUCCUCUCGGUGGUUUCGCGGUAAAUGCAGUAAAAAGUACUACUAGUACUAGCAGCAGCGUUAACUACUCCUCAGACCGAGUUACCUACUUGCUAGUUCUGAUAUAGGACUAGGAGAUUUCUCAGCCUGAAACUCUUGAAAAAUGAAAAUGUCAUUUAUGCUACACUCACCGGCUGGGAGGUUUAAUAGUAUGCCCUCUGUAAAAAAAUAUAAAAGCAUUUAGAUUCCUAACUAGACAUUGUUAUAUUUCUUUACGGAACGAGUAGUAUGUAGAAUAGUGUUGUGGUGCACUUUCAUGCCCUGUCGUCAAGGGGCUCGAAGUGAGUGUAGCAUAAAUCAACGAAAGUGCUCUUUUGAUCCCGAGCUCAUAUGCUUCCGCAUGAACAGUAAAAUUCAAAGAAAAAAAGUAAAUUUUUUAAAAAAAAAUCUGAUUUCUUUUAUGAUGAACACUGAUGAAUGUUCUAAGUGUGUGCAAAAUUUCAGGUCGAAAUAACAUUCGUGGAGGUCUGGGCAAAAAUAACAAUAUCGAUGCUCCAAAAUGCUUUCAACAAUAGUCUUUUUGGACGUUUUAAUUUUUUUGCACAGACCUCCACAAAUGUCAUUUCAACCUGAAAUUUUACCGAAAAAGGCUUUCGCCCCGCUUUAUAAAUAAAGCAACCGCCACAGAGCAUACAUACCACAUAGGUCCACGCCCACACACACAAGUCUCACAACACAGACCAUAGGUUCUGCUGAGGGCACAGCUCAACAAGCCCAAAAAAGAGGAGAAAACACAACACUAGCACAGCACACCCAACACGAGGGGCUAAUCAGGCUCCGGCGGAGGCGGCGGAGAGAGGCGGACGGCCAUCGAUCGGAUGUCGGCGAUGAAGGCGGAGAUGGCGUCACGGUCCGGGGGGCGACUAAGCGGCCGCCAAAGCUGCAAGAAACCCGAGAAUUUGUAGAGGGCGUCAGUAGAGCGACGGAGGGGAGCGUGCUGGAUCACAAGUUUAUUGCGAACGGUCCACAGCGUCCAGGCCAGCACCCCAACUUGAAGCCACCUAAUGUGGCGCGUGGACGCGGGGGACAGUUGGAGUUCAUCAAAUAGGUCCGGGAAAUUGGUGUGGCACCAAGUCCCGCCGACGACUUCGCGAAAGCAGCUCCAGAGGAAUUGGGUGGAGACGCAAGAGAAGAAGAUGUGGUUCGAGUCCUCCGGGACGCCAUAGAGCGGGCAGAUACCAGUGCCCGGGUCAUUGCGCUUGCGGACCUCCACGCCAGAAGGGAGCCUACCACGGAUCCAUUGCCACAUGAAAAUGCGAAUCUUCAGUGGCACACGAACGGACCAGACCAUAGAUAAGGGAAGAGGAGCGGAGGAGGGGGCGAUGGCCGAGUAGAGCGACUUGGUGGUGAACAGGCCCGCCGGCUCUAGCCGCCAGCGGGUGCGGUCUGGUCUGUCAUCCACCAGUGGCUCAUGCAGCGCGACGCAGUCAAGUAACUCACGCCAGGCGGCGGAUUCCGCCGGCCCGAACGGUCGACGAAAGGCCAGACGCCCCAGAUCAAGAAGGGCCCUAUUGACCGAAAUCAUGGGGUCAACGGAGAUAGAAAAGAGGGAGGGGAAGCGGGCCGCGAAGGGGGAGUCACCGGCCCAACGAUCAUACCAGAAGAGAGUCGAGAGGCCGGAGCCAACCGAGAUGGAGGUCCCAAUGCGGAGUACCGGGAGGAGCUGAACAAUGGACUGCCAGAACUGGGAGCCGCCCGAUCUCUGGCAGAAGGCAAGGGGUUGACCCCGAAGGUAUUUGUUCCGGAUAAUGUCCAGCCAGAGGCCGCCAUGACCCUGGGCAAUGCGCCAGAGCCAGCGGGAGAGGAGCGCAAUGUUCAUUCGCUUAGAGCACAUGAUGCCCAGGCCCCCUUGCUCCCGGGGCUUGCAGAUGUCCGGCCAGCUGACCAUGUGGUACUUCUGCUUAUCAUGCUCGCCAGCCCAGUAGAAGCGAGACUGGAUCUUGGCGAUCUCCUUAUGUAGGGACUCAUGGAGGCUAUAGAAGCUCAUAAGGAACAACAAAAGGCUAGAAAGGGAGGAGUUGAUGAGAAUAGUUCGGGCCGCCUUCGAGAGCCAUCUCCCCUGUCAGGGCUCACACUGGGACUGGAGCCUAGAGAUAGCGGGCCUCAGGUCCGCAGCAGAGAGACGCGAGUUGCUAAUGGGGGUCCCCAGGUAGGAGGUGGGGAAAGAGCCCAAGCGGCAAUUAAGCCGAUUGGCGAUGGCCAGAGACUCAGAAGGGGAGUAUCCCAAAACCAUGACGUCGCUCUUAUCAAAGUUGAUCUUGAGACCCGACAUCUGUUGGAAGCAAAGAAGGAGGAACUUGAGGUUGGCGAUGUCCAUCUCCGAGCCUUCGACCAUGAUGAUCGUGUCGUCAGCAUACUGAAGGAUGGAGAUCCCGGAUCCCCCAGAGAGAUGUGGGGUAAUCCCACUAAUGUGGCCAGCAGCCUUAGCCUUAUCAAGAAUGGCAGCCAAGGCGUCCACCACCAUAUUGAAGAGGAACGGAGAGAAGGGGUCACCCUGGCGAACCCCACACAUGGUGGGGAAGAAGGGGCCAGCCUCGCCGUUGAUGUUAACCGCCGUGCGACCACAAGAGACCAGCUGCAUGACUCUAGUGAUCCAGCAAUCGUCAAAGCCCUUCUGAAGAAGGACUUCUCUGAGGAAGGGCCAGCUGACCGAGUCAUAGGCUUUGUGGAAGUCGAUCUUCAAAAAAACCGCCCUAAGGCGUUUGGUCCGGACCUCGUGGAGGACCUCGUGGAGAACCAGAACACCAUCCAGGAUAUAUCGCCCUCUAAUGAAGGCCGACUGGUUAGGAUGAGUGAUCCGGUCAGCAAGCAGGGUCACCCUAUUGGCGUACCCUUUGGCCAGGAUCCUGAAAAUCACAUUAAUGACAGUGAUCGGCCGGAACUGGCGGAUGUCGGACGCCCCAGGGACCUUGAGGAUGAGAAAAAUGAUCCCAUAGUUGAGGCGACCUAGGUCGAUAGUACCCACAAAGAAUUCUUCAAAAAUGGCCAUGACCUCUGGUUUAAUCACGUUCCAGAAGGUCUGGAAGAAGACAACAGGGAGGCCAUCAGGGCCAGGGGCCGAAGCAGCAUUCAUACCCUUGAUUGCCUCCCAAACCUCCUGUUCGGAGAAGGGAGCCGUCAGGGCUGAGUUCUCCGCCCUGGAGACUAACCGAGAACCGGUCCAACAAUCGUAGGCGAGGGAAAUGCCGCUCCGAGGAGCGGCAGAGAAAAGGGAUCUAUAGAAAUCGUCGACAUGAGACCGGAUGUCGCGAGGGUCCUGGAGGAGAGUGUCCCCAUCCCAAAGGAGGGGGAUGGUGUUGCGUCUACGGCGACCGUUGGCGAUUGCCUGGAAGUAGGCGGUAUUCGCAUCACCCUUCAGGACCCACUUCUGGGCGCCUCGAAUGCGCCAAUAGGCCUCCUCGUCGGAGUAGAUCACGGAGAGCUGGUCCUCGAGGUCAUACCGGGCGAGCCACUCAUCCGGAGACAGACCCACCAAGUCGGCCCGGAGAUCAAGAGCCUGAAUGGCGGAAAGUAGAGCCUUCUUGCGCUCUCUGGCAUCGCGCCCGAGGUUAGCGCCCCAUCCCUUCAUGAACUGUCUACCACGUUUCGCACAGAAGUGCCACGUGUCAAUCGCCGAGGGAGGACGGGGGUGGGGGUGGGCCCGGGCCUCAACCCACCGGGCGCACACGGCGUCAGUGAAGCCAGCCUGGGAAAUCCAGAAGGUCUCAAAGCGGAACCGAGGCGGGAUCGGCGGACGCUCGUCCGCGGAAGAGAGAAGGGGGGGACAUGGUCCGAGCCAAUCCUAGUGAUGGCGCGGAGGGAGGAGAGGGGACAGCGGAGGUCCCAAUCCAGGGACACAAGGACCCUGUCCAAUACGGACUGGGUCGGGGAUGAUUGCCGAUUGGUCCAGGUGAACCGUGCACCAAUCCUAUCAAUCUCCCUAAGGGCGAGGUCGGGAUGAAGUCAUUAAACAUCUGCAUCCUGGCGAAGCAGACAUUGCCGUUGUUCUUGUCCUCCGCCACGGGCAGCAGGUUAAAGUCGCCACCCACCACCACGGGGAGGGAGGCGGCCGAUAUCUUUAGGUGCAGCUCUGCGAGGAAGGCCGCCGACCUACUAUGGUCAGCUGGGCCGUAGACAAUAAUGAUCUCCCACUUGAAGUUGAGGGAUCGCUCGAAAAGCUCCAUGCUGACGAAGAAUUCUCCUCGGUCCAUGCUUCCCACCUCGAAUGUGGCAUCCUUCACGCCUAAAAGGAUGCCACCCGAGUGGCCUGAGCUCCCACUAGAAGGGAGCCAGUGCCACGCAAAGAGGUGGGAGCUCAAACGAUCGAGCUCGGGGAGCGAGAAUUCGUGACGCAUGGUCUCCUGGAUCGCAAUGAUUUCGAUGUGCUCCUCGCGCAUGUACUCCACCAGAUGGCGGCGACGACCAUCAUGGCCAAAGCCGCGGAUGUUCCAGAAGAGGGCCCGCAUUAUGGGGCCAUCGGGGGGCUGCUUGACCCCAGGACACGGGAGGCGCUUUGCGCGCGAAGAGCGGCAGUGCGGGAGCGGGUACGGCCACGGAUCUCACCCGGAGGUUGGGGCGCCGGAAGCCGUGGCCUGGAAGUAGAGGGAGGGACCCCGUCCGCAGGAGCGUCCGGGGGGGAAAGGAGAGCAGCACGGGCCUCGGCAAGUUUCCCCUCAAGGAUCUCGCGCGCCCGGAUGGCAGCUAUCUGAACUAAAGGGGGGCCAACCUCCCCCCUGAAAAUGAUAGCAGAGUCGAAGGCCACCUUGGCAAGGUUGCCAAGGGGGAUAGCUUCUAGAGCAGAAAAGGAGCAAGACGAAGCAGAGGGGGGGACGGGGGGCGUACCUGGCUCCAAGUUACGAGCAACCGCGCGGAUCUCGGCCCGCUCGCGGAUGGGCAGAGCCGGGGAGCCCUCCUGGUGGGCCGCAUCCAGCCGCGCACUCCGGCGAGAGGCCACCACCGGGGAGGAGGUCGACCUGCCGCGACGGGAGUAUGCUGCUGAGCGGGAGGGAGGAGGCUGGGCCGCCAUCGGAGUGAGCACACGAGUCUCCCCCUCCCGCAAAACCGGCGAAGUUGGAGACGCCAGCUGAGCAGGUCCGGCGCAGCCGGAGAGGAGAGGCUCAGACAGCGGCGGUCCUGCCGGUGGUGGAGGAGGUGGUGGCGACGUGGUGCGGGGGGCGAUGGUGUCGGGGCUGGGACGCCCAGCAGGAGGGGGGGAGCGGCCUGGGCAUCCACCCUCUGAGGGGGGGGGACGGGUCUGGUGGAGCGCAGGCGGCCGGUGAGGGGGGGGGAGCCCUCGGAGAAGCCACCCCCUCCACAGGCGCCGCCGUCUCCACAGGGGUGGAGGAGUCGUCGCGGAGCAUGUCCGUCGAGGCCGUCCCAGUGGCAGGGGACAACCUGCGAGAGCGCGGGGAGGAGGCAGGGUAGACCACCAUGCCCACACUGGAGAUGUCACUCCCCUCGGAGGAGGAGACCGGCGCGAGAGCGGAGUCAGCCAGCAGAGGAAGGAGGGAGGCCUUACGGCCCUGGCCCCCCCGGUCGGCGGGGGGGGGCGAGGGGGAAGGGGAGCGGGAGUCCUCAGACGCCCCCUCCUCAUCCGAGCGGCGGGAGCGGUGUCGCCCGUGGUAGUCCUCACCAGCCCCCGGGUUGCCACCGGGGAGGCCAGCGUCGAAGGAGCGGGGGCGCCCGAUGUGGUUGGGGGCUCGGGGGCGAUCCUGAGGUCAAAGCCCUGGUCGUUGAAGAAGACACGGACAGAGGCGCGAAGCUUGGAGGAGUCGAGGCACUUAACCUUGACCCGAACCUCCUCCUCCUUGCGGAGUGAGAGCUCGUCCACGGGCACCACCUUGCCCAGGAGACGGGACAUCUGGCGGAUGACGAGCUCAGACCGCGCAACAUCAGGCAGGCCGGAGAUGAGGAUCCAGGCGGUGUCGAGGACGGCCACAGCCUGAGCGUCGAGAAUGGGCUCGGAGAUCUCGACCACCAACUGGUUGAGGGCGAGGGUGAUCCGGCCACUACGCGUCGCGUAGCCGUAGCUGACAGCGUCGGGUAAGACGACAGAGAAGAUGUGGCUGGCGGUAGGAGUGACCACCCAGUCCCACUGGUGUCGGUAGAGGUGGUUGAGCUCUGCCUCGAUCAUCUCCGGGGAUGCCACGCCAUCAACGACAGUGACAAUCGCCUGGAGGGAGGGAGACGGCGGAGGAGCAUCCAGGACCUCGAGGUGGAAGAAGCCCAGCCCCUCAAUCCCGUGUCCAUACAUCAUGAGCUCGGAAACCACCGGUCUAUCCGGGCACAGGAUGGCAGGGUGGCCGGGGUCCUUGCAGAGGUAGCAGCACUGGGGGUUGGCGCAGGUGACCUGAGAGUGACCCCUCACCCCACAGUUGAAGCAGGGGGGGCGAGGAAGGCCGGAGAUGGGGCCCGGCGUGUGAGUGGAGCCAUGGCCCGCACCUGAAAUUUUACACGCAGUUAGAAAAGUUCAUCACAAAAAAAUUCAGUUUUUUUUUGAAUAUUUUUUGAAUAUUACUGUUCAUGCGGGAGCAUGUGAGCUCGGGAUCAAAUAUUUCAUGUCCUAAAAUCAACAUGCAUCGUAACAAACCCAUAAACAGACCCAUCAACGACACUUAUUUUGGAAAGAAGGAAGUAUUAAGAUGCCGGGAAUAGGUUUCUUCUUCUUUUUGUCACCUCCGUGCGAUUGGUUUGUAACGCACUCUUCAAUCUUCAUAAUUAAUGAAUGUGAUAAAUCUUUUAUCAAUUUUUUUCAAAACAAACGAAAAACACUGCCGUUGAGCUGAAGCUUGUAAAGGGGUGAUGUACGUAGUAGUGAUACUUAUAGGGUUUAGAUAAGGUCUACGACGACCUUUAAUUUGAGUGUCUCGUGAGCAGGUGAAACUAUUGUUCCAAAUAUAUGGCCGCCGCUUCUUUGUAUCUUUUCUUCUUUUUGAGUUGGGCCGCUUCUGGUGUCUGAUAGGCUGACAGUACAGCACGCGCGCUCAUACUGUUCAAACUUUAAGCAGAAUGCCAUCUGAUGCGACAUCUCCAAUCCACUCUCAAGAUUCAAAACACUAUCCGCACGAAUGGAUAUGGUAGGGUAGGCGAAUGCAAUCCUAACACAAUGCGUUUGCCUAGCUACAUGUCAUCUUCUGAGAGGAGCAGAGAAGCGCGGCUAGUAAAUCCAUGGUGAGAUGAGCAAAUGCGCGCGCAUGAACACCAAAUCGAUCAACACCAUCAGCCAAGAGACAAGCAGUGUAGUGCAGCGAAUGCUCCUUCAGUGGACUUUUCCGGUUCCAUUAUGAUUGAUUGGUAAAUAAGCACAACUUCACCAAAAGAACAAAAUGAACACUACUGGUAAGUACUUACUACUCACUUACUAUAACUGCGUACGUAUAUAUCCUAGUGAUUAGGCUAGUAAUAACAUUUGGUCAGGGGGCAAAAUUUGCGCGCACACAUCUGCACGCCGGAUACAUACAUACUAACAUACACACACUGAAGAAGUAGAAGGUGGAUCAGCAGAUGGUCGCUGCUGCCGGAGCAUAGAGGUAAAGAGGGUUGAGAGCUUCUUGUAGCUAGCUAGCUGGAU